RNAcentral lists this ribosomal RNA (253 nucleotides) under uncultured prokaryote. RNAcentral's name for it is "partial 16S ribosomal RNA". It matches the Rfam family "Bacterial small subunit ribosomal RNA", at positions 524 to 776 of the family's 1533-position model. The record is from RNAcentral.
GACGUAGGGGGCCAGCGUUGUUCGGAAUUACUGGGUGUAAAGGGUUCGUAGGCGGUGUGGCAAGUCGGGAGUGAAAUCUCGGAGCUCAACUCCGAAACUGCAUUGGAAACUACCUUGCUCGAGGGUUGGAGGGGGGACUGGAAUGCUUGGUGUAGCAGUGAAAUGCGUAGAUAUCAAGCGGAACACCAGUGGCGAAGGCGAGUCCCUGGACAACUCCUGACACUGAUGCACGAAAGCUAGGGGAGCAAACAGG